GGGGAAGUAGGUAGAUACAGUAGGUACAGUAGAUAUAUACAGUAGGUAGGUACAGUAGGUACAGUAGAUAUAUACAGUAGUUAGAUACAGUAGGUACAGUAGGGAAAGUAGGUGGUAAAGUAGAUACAGUAGAUAGAUACAGUAGGUAGGUACAGUAGGUACAGUAGUUAGAUACAGUAGAUGCAGUAGGUAGAUACAGGAGGUACGGUAGGGAAAGUAGGUAGAUGCAGUAGAUACAGUAGGUACAGUACAUAGAUACAGUAGCUACAGUAGGGGAGGUAGGUAGAUACAGUAGGUGAAGUAGAUACAGUAGAUGCAGUAGGUACAGUGGGUAGAUAAAGUAGGUAGGUACAGUAGGUAGAGAUUCAGUAGGUACAGUAGAUAGAUAGUAGGUGAAGUAGAGGCAGUAGAUACAGUAGGUAUAGAUUCAGUAGGUACAGUAGAUAGAUACAGUAAGUGCAUUAGGUAGACACAUUAGCUACAGUAGGUACAGUAGGUACGGUAGGGAAAGUAGGUAGAUGCAGUAGAUACAGUAGGUACAGUACAUAGAUACAGUAGCUACAGUAGGGGAAGGUAGGUAGAUACAGUAGGUGAAGUAGAUACAGUAGGUGAAGUAGAUACAGUAGGUGAAGUAGAUACAGUAGAUGCAGUAGGUACAGUGGGUAGAUAAAGUAGGUAGAGAUUCAGUAGGUACAGUAGAUAGAUAGUAGGUGAAGUAGAGGCAGUAGAUACAGUAGGUAGAGA
Molecule: long non-coding RNA, 744 nt
Filed under: Salmo salar (Atlantic salmon)
Lineage: Eukaryota; Metazoa; Chordata; Actinopteri; Salmoniformes; Salmonidae
Description: lncRNA (ENSSSAG00000120536.1)
Source: RNAcentral